Oncorhynchus mykiss (rainbow trout) is the source of this 1479-nucleotide non-coding RNA. The record is from RefSeq and is a predicted model, not a curated record. NCBI's taxonomy places the organism in Eukaryota, Metazoa, Chordata, Actinopteri, Salmoniformes, Salmonidae.
UUGUAUUGAAUUGUGGGUAGUAUCAACCCCGCAAAUGACCAUGUUGUUCACUUGUUCCCUCGAGCUAAAUCUAGGGCCGAGGGGCAACGUUAGAGCAAGAGCGUUGGACUAGUAACCGGAAGGUUGGAAGAUCGAAAGCCCCAGCUGACAAGCAUGAUCUGCAAGCAAAGCUAUAGUUGCGUUACGGUGAGAUUGCAAAGAGGACCCUACCACCACCCAAACUUCCUGUUGGGCCCAGCCACAAGUUUGCCUUCAAUUACUAUAAUGGCAGAGAUGGGCGUAGAGAGUCUGCACCAGCAAUGGUUGUGAUGUCGUGUCAAAAGGCCUUGACUGCUUGCCAAGUUCUGGAGGUGCCAGCAAAGCGUCCAGUCACACCUGGAAAUGUUCUCAGUGAGCUAACGCUGUCUACAGAUCAGCCAUACCUCUGAACAACAUUGUUUUUUUCCUGACUUAUUGUAGGUCUGACAGCAGAGCACAAUGUUGCUAUCACUAUUGUUCAAAUCUUGUAAAAUAUUAAAUUGUUAAUAAAUGAUGUAAUGUUUGAAGAAAUGUUUUGUAAUGACCAAUUGCUCAUGUUACUAGCAUAUUUACUUUGUGAGUCAAUCACAGUUUUGGGUACCUGGUUAAAGGUAGACUCAGCGAUAUGGCGUAGAUGCAGAAAGUAAACAGCAUAGUGGGUCAACUUCCGCAACAACUAAGAGCGUUGAAGCGCGAAGCUCAACUUCUCUGCUGUUUGGUGCCCUGGCCACCACACUGAACUGUGUUAUGCGAACCCAUGCAGAUGCUGUGGGAUAGCGAAGUGUUGCAUCUCGCUCAUCUCUCUCCGGUGAUGCUCGUGGCUACUUCCUUUCACCGAGUCUACCUUUAAUAUCCCCAAAGUAGCUCAUCAUUAUCAGGAGUCGACUCAACCAUUCAUGCAUGUAGUCUGCUACAUAUUUUUCACUCCCCCUAUAGUACCAGCAUGUUCUCUCAUUGUGACAGCAUCAUGUUUUUUUUCCCCCUGUACUCUUGCUGGAUUUAUUUACAUGAUCAAGUGUAGCAACUUUGAACCUCCCAACUUUUGCCCCAAAUAGCCUUAUGAAUUGUACUUUGUUUUGCAUUUGUUCUGGCUUUGAAGUCAACAUGAUCUUAACUGUAACUAUAUUUUUCCUCAAUGCCAAGUUAGCUCCUGCAAGCAUCUGGGUUCUCUUAAAUUGUUCCGUGGAAGGUGCAGAAUAGGUUUGUUAGGACCAAACUCUGCAAUAUUACAUGCGAAUGGACCUUAAGGAAAUUAAUUGAGGAUUAAUUGAAGUGGCCACAAAUAGAUAAUUGUUCUAACCUCACCCAGACUACAUAGUCUGACAUACUAUAAAAGAAGAAGCACAUACCGUGCUUCUACACCUGCAUUGCUUGCUGUUUGGGGUUUUAGGCUGGGUUUCUGUACAGCACUUUGAGAUAUCAGCUGAUGUACGAAGAGCUAUAUAAAUAAAUUUGAUUUGA